This 370-nucleotide ribosomal RNA is filed under the name uncultured bacterium. RNAcentral's name for it is "bacterial SSU rRNA". It matches the Rfam family "Bacterial small subunit ribosomal RNA", at positions 524 to 898 of the family's 1533-position model. The record is from RNAcentral.
UACGUAGGGGGCAAACGUUGUCCGGAUUUACUGGGUGUAAAGGGUGCUCAGGCGGUUUUGUAAGUCAGAAGUGAAAUCCUAGGGCUUAACUCUGGAACUGCUUUUGAUACUGCAAGGCUUGAAUGUGGAAGAGGAGGAUGGAAUUUCUGGUGUAGCAGUGAAAUGCGUAGAUAUCAGAAAGAACACCAGUGGCGAAGGCGGUCCUCUGGUCCACUAUUGACGCUAAAGCACGAAAGCGUGGGGAGCAAACAGGAUUAGAUACCCUGGUAGUCCACGCCUUAAACGAUGAAUACUAGACGUUGGGGUUAAACUCAGUGUCGCAGCUAACGCAUUAAGUAUUCCACCUGGGGAGUACGAUCGCAAGGUUGAA